GCAGAAUCAGUGGUGGUCCACAGCUAUUACCAUGGAAGAGAUCAGCUGGACAGAGUGUUGUUUACAAAGGAUGCACUCAUCUGUUUGAAGACCAGCUCGCCGUGGGAAAUGUCUCACUUAGACUGAGUGGUGUGCAGCCGAGUGACCAGGGCAAAAACACUUGUGAUGUGACAGAUGAACAGGCUAGCACCCUGGAAAACCUAAUACUUUUAGUGAGAUGUUAGAAAGUAUGUAUUUUUGUCCUUUCAGAUUUUUUAGGAAUCUUGCAUGUAUGGGGGAUAAAUAGACAUAAAAGUAUUAAACUAUCUGCACAAAAUCAACUUAGUUAUCUACUUGCCUAAAGCCCUUUGCAGUCAGAAUUCUCCUUUGUUAAGAGUUGAAUAUGAGUAUUGUUGUUUCUGUUUACCCCUGGCCCCCUUCAAGAAUCCACAGCUCAGCUGUCUAUACAGUCAUCCUGUGACAGCUUCAUCAUCACCCUCACCUCCUCCCAGGGUUUCCCCCAGCCUGAUGUGUGGUGGACAGACUCCAUUGGAGGAGACAUCUACAAUUAGAGCCACUGCUAAAUCGGUCUGGAAAGCAGGGGGCGCUAUGAGGUCCACAGCUCCAUGGAGGUCAGGCCAAACAGUACACUCACCAUCAUUGCUGAAAUGAGACUGGAGGAUCUCAAUCAAAGCUUCACCCGCUCGCUCACCCUCCACCCACUCCCAGAAUGCUGUGAGCUGCCUCUUGCAACCGGGGGCAGACCGGCUUUGGUAUUAUUAGGGAUAGUUCUCUUAGCAGCUUCAGACGUCUGAAACACACCAACACCAGCUGAUCCCACAUGACUAUACAACAGGACAAGAUGAGGCUCAUGAAACAGAGACUUGAUACAUCAUGAACAAAAAUUAGUUAUAAAAGUCUAAGCUUACAGGACUGUUUCAAUGUCACAAAUAUAGGUGUGUGUGUUGCUGCCUUCUGAAAUAUUUCCACUCCCUAUUGGUAAUGUAUUAUAGAGUACUGCUAGCAGUAGACUUUGCUACUCUCUGCAGCCCUAUGUAAUCCAGACUAUUUUGUUUUCUUUGGGGAUGCAGAGCUGUCAUGAAGGUGAAGAGUGGCUGCUUUGAAGAGUCUCAAAUAUACAUUUAGAUUUGUUUAACACUUUUUUUGAUUACGGCAUGAUUUCAUCAAGUGUUAUUUCAUAGUUUUGAUGUCUUCACUAUUAUGCUACAAUGUAGAAAAUAGUACAAAUAAAGAAAAACCUUUGAAUGAGUUGGUGUGUCCAAACAUUUGACUGGUACUGUACAUUUUGUCCAAUGUUACUGUCAAAUGUGGCCUGGUAACAACAACUGGGAAAAGUACUAUCCACCUUACAGUUGGGCUGGUUGUAAAAGUUGAUGCUACAUGACGUUGUGGAUGUAACUGCAACGUCUGGGGCAUAUUACAGAAAUAUUUCACGUUAUUACAUGGUGCUUGGAGUCACUCUGUGAGACAGUUCAUUACAUUAAUGAUAUACCGUUGCUGCAACA
Molecule: long non-coding RNA, 1505 nt
Filed under: Oncorhynchus mykiss (rainbow trout)
Lineage: Eukaryota; Metazoa; Chordata; Actinopteri; Salmoniformes; Salmonidae
Description: lncRNA (ENSOMYG00000001947.2)
Source: RNAcentral